GUGUCAGCAGCCGCGGUAAUACGAGGGGGGCAAAUGUUGUUCGGAAUCACUGGGCGUAAAGGGAGCGUAGGCGGGUUCUUAAGUUAGGUGUUUAAUCCCGGGGCCCAACCCCGGACCGGCACUUAAAACUGGGAAUCUUGAAUAGUGGAGAGGUCGGUGGAAUUGGGGGUGUAGCGGUGGAAUGCGUAGAGAUCCCCAAGAACACCAGUUGCGAAGGCGGCCGACUGGACACAUAUUGACGCUGAGGCUCGAAAGCAUGGGGAGCAAACAGGAUUAGAAACCCCAGUAGUCC
This 292-nucleotide ribosomal RNA is filed under the name uncultured bacterium. Its description in RNAcentral is "partial 16S ribosomal RNA". It matches the Rfam family "Bacterial small subunit ribosomal RNA", at positions 505 to 796 of the family's 1533-position model. The record is from RNAcentral.